GUUUGAAUAGUUUAAUAAGAAUAAUAAUUUGUGGUGUUAUAGGUAUAAUAUUUAUUUCAGACC
RNAcentral lists this transfer RNA (63 nucleotides) under Potamometra berezowskii. RNAcentral's name for it is "tRNA-His". The record is from RNAcentral. Lineage: Eukaryota; Metazoa; Arthropoda; Insecta; Hemiptera; Gerridae. RNAcentral also lists the same sequence under 4 other names.